RNAcentral lists this long non-coding RNA (228 nucleotides) under Solanum tuberosum (potato). RNAcentral's name for it is "long non-coding RNA (STUB_LNC003210)". Lineage: Eukaryota; Viridiplantae; Streptophyta; Magnoliopsida; Solanales; Solanaceae. The record is from RNAcentral.
CCCAUAUAUCACAUAAAUUCUUGAGAAAAUCUUCUUUGCAUAUUAAAUUGAUGCUUCUUUUCUUUGUAAUGAAGCAGUUGAGAAGGUAUAGAGACCAGCAUUGCAUUUGGCAAGCCCAAGACUCUGCUUUUUUAUUCUCCAUUUCGAAUUCUCUGAGACCUUUUGUCAUCAAAUAGCAAUGAUAUUCGACUCUGUUUUCAGUUUUCUUGCACACAAACUCGCUAUAGA